This 112-nucleotide ribosomal RNA is filed under the name Gammaproteobacteria bacterium RIFCSPHIGHO2_01_FULL_42_8. RNAcentral also lists the same sequence under 4 other names. Lineage: Bacteria; Pseudomonadati; Pseudomonadota; Gammaproteobacteria. The record is from RNAcentral.
CCUGGUGGCUAUAGCGAGCGGGAACCACCUGACCCCAUAUCGAACUCAGAAGUGAAAACGCUCAGCGCCGAUGAUAGUGUGAAGUUCAUGCGAAAGUAGGACACUGCCAGGA